Phalacrocorax carbo (great cormorant) is the source of this 5548-nucleotide non-coding RNA. The record is from RefSeq and is a predicted model, not a curated record. NCBI's taxonomy places the organism in Eukaryota, Metazoa, Chordata, Aves, Suliformes, Phalacrocoracidae.
CUCCCCAGGAUGGGCGUGGCCCUGCGGCCCCGCCCCGCCCCACUGCGCGCUGGCGUCAGGAGGGGGCGGGGCGUGCGCGCUCCCGGCAAGGCCGGCACUUCCGGGUUCCCCGGCCGGAGGCGCGGAGCCGCGACCCCCGGUUCCCCGCCGUCAAGGGAUGCGAGCUGCCCGCCGUGUCAGAUGGCCACCGAAUCGACGGGGAAAACACAGCGCUGGGAAUCCGAAACGACACAAAAAUCAGGAGUAUAAGUACGGGACCAUCUUGCCACAACGUGCUGGGGGUUUCGCAACCCGCUUCGCCCUUGCGUGGUGGCUCUGUUGGCUGCAACGCUGGGGAAAAUCAACCCCAGCUUUACCUGCGGCUCCAGCAAAUUAUAGCCUGGUUCAGGAGCAGGCGACAGGCUAAAAGAAAUUCUCUGUUUGAGCAUUUGAGAAACACGGUCUUGCCAUCAAGGGCGGCGCUGGGAGCGCAGCGGCUGCUCUGCCUCCCCCAGCUGCUCCUGGGCGUCCCGCUCGGUGCCGCGGGGGUGGAACGUGGAGGGGUUCAUCAGUGGCGAUUCUGCUCCAACCCCAUCAGGUGACAUGUGAAGGCAGCGCCCGGCACGGGGAGCGGCGGCAGCAGCUGAGAUGCAUUCGAGUCACGCCGAUGACCCCAAGGAAGCCAUACAGCUGAUCAAGAAGCAACUGGUGAAUGCCAUCAAGGCGUUGCAGAAGCAGUACGUGACCUCGGAUGCUGUUGUAACCAGCGAUGAUGGGAAUGCGAACACCCUCUGCAGCGCCCUGGAAGCUGUCUUUGUGCACGGGCUGAAGGCGAAGCAUAUAAAGGCAGAGAGUGGGGGGAAAGGGAAGAAAGGGGGUCGGGGACCACUUCCCCAGCCGGUCUUCUGGGGGCUGCUGAAGAGCAUCACCCAUCGAAAUACUGUCUCAGAGCUGGAACAACUCAUCUUUAUCAAUACGGACGUUGGCCGCUGCCGAGCCUGGCUGAGGCUGGCUUUGAACGAUGGCCUUGUGGAGUGUUACUUGAAGCUGCUGCUGCGGGAGAAGUCCCGGCUGCCCGAAUACUACCAGGCGACCGCUCUGCUCUUAGAUGCCGAAGAGUGCGAGUUUCUCCUUAGCUACUUGCAGGGCUUAACGUCCUUAACCUUCGAGCUCUCCUAUAAAUCAGCGGUUUUGAACGAGUGGACUAUCACCCCUCUGUCCCUGUCGGGUCUCUGUCCCGUUUCGGAGCUGCUGGAGCCCCUCACGUCCUCGACAUCCGAACCCCGCAGAAAAGCGUCGCUGGGUUCGAUCUCCCAGUCAUCGGGGUCAGAUGAGAUCGAGAUUCAACCCUCCGUCUUACCCAUCAGCAAAGCCAGCAGCAAAAUCAAGCUCACAUCGUCCUCGUUGAGCCUUAACACCACGAGCUCGUCCCAGCUCUCCUCCAGCCUGGGCUCCGACAGCAUCCUCCCAGCUCACUGCGCCCGCAGUCCCGAGCGGAACGAGGAGCCGCUCUCCUGCGACUCCGACCUGGGGACGGCCACCGCCGAGGACCUGGACAGGUCGCUGCAAGAGGUGUUGUCCGAGUUCAGCAAAGCCAAGCCAAGCCCCGAAGCCCUGGAGGGAGGGUUGGUCCCCAGCGUGCUGAGCUGCUCCCCACGGCAGCCCGCCUGCCCCCCGGCUGCAUCACCCAACCCCCCGGCACCGUCCCACGAAGCUCGCCGGCAGCCGCCUCCCAGCGCCGACAGUCCGUGCUCCGCUCGGACGGGCGACUCGGCGACCGCCAGCGGUGGGGAUGGAGAUGCAGCAACGCGAGCCGGCGGCACAGCCGGCAUUUCGGCCACGCGGCUUGGCGGUCCAGCUGGAGGAGAGACAGGCAGAAGCGGCACGGUCAGCGGCAGCGAGGCAAACCAGGCUGUCCGCAGCCCGACGGCUGAAUACUUCCUUUCUCCGCUGCUGGGUUGUCCGAAAAGAAAGAGCUGGAUCUCAGAAGAUGAUUUCUACAGGCCUCCUCCAGGAGAGAGCGGCAAAAGCACAGCUGACAUCAAUGGCUUUGGGCCAGAGGGGGCUGGCGAGGGUCCGGCCCCAGGGCUCAUUAGUGCUCUUGACUUGGAAAGGCUGUCAGUGCCGUCCUCGGAGAGCGGGAAGGCCAAAAUGUCACCUGAACGGGAGCAAAAGGGCUUCAGCGUUGUGCAUCGCAGGCAGAUGGGUCUUUCCAACCCUUUCCGAGGGCUCCUGAAGCUGGGCAGCCUGGAGCGGAGAGGAGCCAUGGGGAUAUGGAAGGAGUUUUCCUGCGAGCUGUCGCCGCUGGAGCUCCAGCUCUUCCUGGACCACGAGGACCGCAUCUGCGUCGAGAGCUAUUCCCUGCUGCGGUGCGAGUCACUGGCACUGACGCACUCCGACGGCCGUUUUGAGCUGGUUUUCCUGGGGAAAAAACUCUACCUACGAGCUCCUUCUCGAGAUGAGGCCGAGGACUGGUUGGACAGGAUCCGCGAGGCGCUGCAGAAGUGCCGGCCUCAGCUGGAGGAGGAGGAGUGGGAGACACUGGAGUAUCCAGAAGACGCUGGCGAAGGCCAGCCCAUCCAGAACAACUCUGCUGCUCUUCUCCAGUACAGCAACGUGCCUGGAAACAGCUUUGACUGGACUCCAGCUCACGAACCGGAGCUGGAUGCAAUAAAGGAGACUGUUCUGUACAUGGACGUAGACAAAACCUGGGUCCCCUAUAUUUUUUCCCUGUCUCUAGAAACUUUAAAGUGCUUUAAAGUCAGAAACAACGAUAAAAUUUUAAGCAACAGUUACGGUAUAGAGACCAUCCAGGACAUCCUUCCGGACACGAGCCUCGGGGGACCCGCGUUCUUCAAGGUGAUCACCUCCAAAGCUGUCCUGAAGCUGCAGGCUGAGAAUGCAGAAGAAGCAGCCUCGUGGAGGGAGCUGGUCCGAGGGGUGCUCAUGGCCUACCUGGAGAGCGCGGAGGAGGCGCUGACGCUGGGUGGCAGCUUGGACGGGCACUCCCAAGUCGUCCUGAAGAACAUCGUGAAGGAGAACGGCUUCUUGUUGCAAUACCUGGUGGCCAUCCCUGUGGAGAAGGGCCUGGACUCGCAGAGCUUCAUCUGUGCAGGCUGCUCCAGGCAGAUCGGCUUCUCCUUCGCGAAGCCCAAGCUCUGCGCCUUCUCCGGUCUCUACUACUGCGACAGCUGCCACCGGGACGAGGAGACGGUGAUUCCCUCACGCCUCAUCCACAACUGGGAUCUGACGAAACGAGGGGUUUGCCAGCAGGCUUUGAAGUUCCUCACCCAGAUCCGUAACCAGCCGCUGAUCGACCUGAAGCUGGUCAACGAGAGCCUCUACGACCACGUGGAGAGGAUGGGACGGAUCCGCCAGAGCAGGGAACAGCUGAAGCUGCUGGGAGAUUAUCUCAUCAUGUGCCGCAGCGGGGCCCUGAAGGAGCUGAGCAAGCGGCUUGAUCACAGGCACUACCUCUUGGAGUGUCCCCACAAAUACAGCGUCACUGAUCUGAGGCAGAUAGCCGACGGCGUCUUUGAGAGCUUCCUGCAGUCUCUGAUCCAGUUUGCUUCCCAUCACGUCUACAACUGCGACCUGUGCACCCAGCGAGGCUUCAUCUGCCAGAUCUGCAACAGCAGCGACAUCAUCUUUCCCUUCGAGUUUGACACUACCACCAGGCAGGGUCCUUGCCUGCCGUGGGGUCAACCGCAGCUGAGCAGGCGCUGAGAUCGGAUGGCUGUGUUAGAAGGAGUGUCUUUAUCCCCACCAUCGGGGCUUUCUGAAGAAAUCAAUAUCAAACCCUUCCAGCCCAGGAGCCUGGUCUGUAGUGGGUGGAGACAUCUCCACAUCUCGAUGGUUAUUUGGUAACGAGUAUAAUCCUGGCAGAGAAGUUGAACAGCCUGAUGGUCUGCGUGGCCUUGCUUUGCCUGGCGGACCCUAAAAGCGAGCAGCAACAUCCAGAAGCUGCAGAAAACACCAGCAAGACCAGGGUCGCCGGCUACCCCGUGCGUUACGUGGUUGCCCAUACUCCCAGGGCAGUUGAGCACGAUUGCUCGCUCUCCCUCCUUGCCGCAGCGACAGCAUCGUGCUUGUUAUCGAGCACAACAUCCCCCGGGGCACCGAUUUUUCCCUUGAAAAAGCGUACAGGCUCUGGAAGGAGCAGGCACGCGGGCUGAGCUCUGCUGGCAGCCAGCUGCAGGUCUCAUGUCCUGUAAAGCCGGGCUCUGAAGUUUGUUGACCUCUUUUUUAUUUUUUUAUUUUUUUUCCUGGCGGAGGAGGUUGUGCAGCAGGAAAGCAGCUCAACCAACAUCCUUGCCAAGCUAAACCCGGCUUCCUGCCCCUCUGCCCGCCCCAGGAGACAGCCAGCUGCUGGGGUCACGCCGUCACUGGCUGCAGGAUGCGUCUGAAAUGCCUCCUAACAAUAAACCCAGCCGGGCGCUCGCUGUUCUCCUUUUCACAGCAGCGGCGGCCCCUUCCUGCAGCCGUUGCUCUGGCAGGUGGAGGCAGGAGAUGCCGCCUUUUGGCUGCCGCUCGCUGAGAAACACGCAGGGUAAAAAACCAGCCCCCGGCUUUGCGAAUCCUCCCGCGCUCGGGGAGGAGCCGCCACCGCUGCUAAUCUGGAGAAGCCGUGUGAAAAUAUACUCCACUGGGAAAAUGCACGGCACCAGGCAGCACGCACACACCCCCCAUCCCGUCACGAGUCUUUUCCGUAUCCUGAGUAACUGGGGGGUUGCAGCCGCUUGUCAGGAGCAGGAUUUGACCCAGGCUGCAAUGUGUCAUGGUCCCUUGCCUGGUGCGCUGCUGGGCGUGUCCCUGCUCCCCUCGCCACUCAUCCUUUGGGAAAUUAAGGUACCCAGUGGUAUGCACACAUCGAUUGUGCAGCAGGUAUUUGCACUUGAGGGCAUUUUAAAAAUAAUCUAGCUGACCCGCUGGCAUGUGGAUGGGCUGCAUUUUGCUGCUGCUGGCGAGCUGGGGCAUCGCAACCAGGGAAAAAACGUGAGCUCAGCCUUCAUAGCACAGACUUUUCUUCUGUUGACUCAAGAUAAGUAGUGAACGCCCCGCGCAGAGCUGGGUGUCUCCUCCCCGCCAGCCCCAUGCAAGGUAUAAUUUCUGGCUGUUUACAUUCCUGCUGCGGCGCUGAGCCAGAGCAGGGAGGUCCCAGGCGGGCGCUGGCGAGACCUCCCCGGAGCCUGCCGGCUCAAAGGCAACGCCAUCCCGGCUGCCCGUCCCCUUCCCUGCGGCUCCGGUGUCCCCACGCAGCGUCCCUGCCACGUGCGGGUCCCGCAGUCAGGGUUGGGGGACUCCUGGCUGCACCCCGGCCCCGGCGAGUGGGGAGGGUCCGCGCCGUGGCACCGCGCUGCAUCCCGGCCCCACCGGCGACGCGUCGCCAGCCGGGCUCUCGCCGCUCUGCACUGUUGCAGGGUUUGGUGUCUCAGCCUCGAAAUGUUGCUCCUGUGCUGUCAGCGCUCUGAAAACAAGGUGCAGCGAAUGCAAAACCGUCUUCCACCGCGACUGCCAAGCCCGUGCCAAGUCGUGCCCCCGCUGCGAGCGCCGGCAGAGGUACCAGCGA